Molecule: ribosomal RNA, 439 nt
Filed under: uncultured bacterium
Lineage: Bacteria
Description: partial 16S ribosomal RNA
Rfam family: Bacterial small subunit ribosomal RNA
Source: RNAcentral
CCUACGGGUGGCUGCAGUGGGGGAUAUUGCACAAUGGGGGGAACCCUGAUGCAGCGACGCCGCGUGGGUGAAGAAGCGCCUCGGCGCGUAAAGCCCUGUCAGCCGGGAAGAAAAUGACGGUACCUGAAGAAGAAGCCACGGCUAACUACGUGCCAGCAGCCGCGGUAAUACGUGGGGGGCAAGCGUAAUGCGGAUUGAGUGGGUUUAAGGGGUGCGCAGGCGGCGUGUCAAGUCAGCGGUAAAAUGUCGGGGCUCAACCCCGGCCGGCCGUUGAAACUGGCGUGCUCGAGUUGGAGAGAAGUAUGCGGAAUUCGUGGUGUAGCGGUGAAAUGCAUAGAUAUCACGAAGAACCCCGAUUGCGAAGGCAGCAUACCGGCUCCACACUGACGCUGAGGCACGAAAGCGUGGGUAUCGAACAGGAUUAGAUACCCCAGUAGUC